UUGUAAAGCAAUUAUACUCCAAUAAAGAUGUUAAAAAAAAAAAUAUCUGAUUACAAUGCCAUUGACAAGAAACUUGGAUAGUUCUGUGACAUACAACACUUUAAGAUAAUAACUAGAAUUAUGACUGAUAACAUUACACCAGGACAUAUCAGACUUUCAGGAAUUCCAUAUAACUUCAGGAAUAUCUAUAUUCAUGACAUUUCCCCAUACAAUAUAACCUAAGAAGGUUUAUCUCCGAUUACUUGACAAUGCUUCUAAAGUAAUUUAACAUACCAAAUAAGCCUAAUUAGUUUAACAUUCCUCUCUGAGACGCCUCAGGGUUUCUUCAAGUAUGAAAAGAACUUCAGUUAGAAUUUGGGAAGUUUGUCAAACAUAUCAAAAAGGUUUCAAAGCACUCGGUCAAAUAGGAUCAUAGGUCACGGUAAAACAAUACUCAUUCACUUAACCAAAAUGACAAAAGAUUUCAAAAGCAAAUAUAGAUCA
This is a long non-coding RNA of Aethalodelphis obliquidens (Pacific white-sided dolphin), 483 nucleotides long. RefSeq lists it as uncharacterized. NCBI's taxonomy places the organism in Eukaryota, Metazoa, Chordata, Mammalia, Artiodactyla, Delphinidae. The transcript is spliced from 3 exons. The record is from RefSeq and is a predicted model, not a curated record.